GGGAAAGCUCAAAUAUAUGCUAGCAAAGAAAUGGAUGAACCUUGAAAAUUGCAGGUACUUACCAAAUCUUUAGUUGUCACAUGUUGCUUCCUUCCUAUUGCUUGCUAUACCACAUAAUUUGUGGUAAUAUCUAAGUCUACCCCAUGCCUUUGAGAGAGUUCACAUACAUAUAAUAACUGUUAAAAGCUUCCAUAACUUACACUUUUGUUCUGCAUUUACACAGGGUGAAUUGUUCAAGAAAGGAUGCACAACAAAAAUGAUUCUAUGGGUCGUGGAUUAUAUAACCAUACCAGAUAAGUCGACGUCUCAUUCAAAGAUCAUUUUUAUUUGAGCAUAGUGUACUAUAAUUUGCAUCAUUUGGCUUCUAUUUUUUCUUCUGCGCACAAAAUCAUCCUACCGUUGUUCGUAUGCACCAGAUGAUUAAACAUAUAUUUAUCAAUAUGUAAAAUAAAAUUGAAUGUGUAAUUACUUUGAAUUUCUUUUUUCCGGCUGAAACUUGACUGUCUGAAUAAAAUAUAAUCCUUGCUCUUUGAUUUCUGAUUUGAAUUGUUUAAGCACUAAACUACAUUAGAAGCAUGUAUCUUGUCACCUUGAAAACAGUGAAAACAAAUACAUCUUAAAGUAGUAGCAACAAACAGAAAGAUAUUUUUAAACUGUAGAAUAGGUUUAUAAACAAUGGAACAAUCUGAGUAUAAGAAAUAUGAACAAUUGUAAAUAAAAUUUAAUACCUUUUUAUCCUGAAGUACCAUUUCAAUUGCGUGACAGCGUUAGGAUUAAAGCGAGCUUUCACUUCCCAUAGCCGAACAACCAAGAUCUUUAACUUCCACUGCAUUUUAGUGAUUGUUAAGUCGUUGAUGAAGUCUUAACAUUUUUGAUAAAGAAUGAAAGUAUAUGUAGAUUGUGGUAAGGAUUUAAAGUAUAGAAGUUGUUUAAGAAGAAAUUAUUGGUUACAUUAACAUUUGAAGGUUUCUGUAGAUAACGGUAAGUGCCGUUAGAGUUGUAGUGGUAUACAAAAGAAUCAGUGGUUACAACGGAAGAUGAAUUGAAUUUAUAGAUGAAGGGGAUGAAAAAGGGCAUUUAACAAUUGAGGAUAAGAUUAAUGACAGUUGUGAAAUAGGUAGUAUUCCGUUGAGCAAUGGAUAAAUGGAUAAAUAAGAUGUUGAUAAAAGAGUUAUAAUAUGCCUUGGUAACUUAUUGAAUAAAAAGAGUUAACUCUAUAAAUUAUUUUUUAUAUUUGCUACGUUAGUACUGAUGGAAUAAAAAGAGUACACUAUAUAAAUUAGUUAAUAUUUUUGAUACCUUAGUUUUAUGAUAUUUUUUUUACAAUUACAAAUACAACUUAAAAGAAUGUAAAUUUUUGAUGUUAUAACUGAUCUUUAAUUGUAUUUAUCUGUUUUUUUAAAAAAUAAAAGAUAAUGUAACUGUAAAUUUGAAUUUGAAUGUUUAAAAUAACUAACAUAACAACUAUUCAUUUUAGUUUGUUUUUGCUUUUUUUUUUUUUUUUUGAAAUAAGGGUCCAAAUGUUAGAGCGUGGUAAGUUUUAAACUUUAAAUUGUUAAAAUAUUUACCAAAUCGAUACAUUGCUUUUACUAAAGAAAUAUUUAUAUUUAUUUAUUGAAAUUAACUUAUCUUUCAAUUGUUAUAGUUUAACUGAAAUUGAAUUUACAGUUUUUUGUCGGUAGUUUAUAGAAGUUGUUAAACUUUUACAUAUUUUUCAUCUUUUUAGUUAUUAUUUAAAAUUAAAACUUAAUUAUUUAAAAAUAAUUAAAAAAUAGUAAAAGCAAUGGAUAUUUUAAAGGAUGACAUUUGGGUGAAUGAGAGGGCUGCACCUUUUGUUAUUAAGAAUAUAUAGAUAUAGAUAUAAAUAUGAACUUUUUAAUUAAACAAAUUAACUCGUUUAUAUUUGCUACUUAGUUAAGUGUAUAAGUUUUAAAUUUUUUUUUUUGGAAAAACAAAUGCAAUAAUGAAUUACUAACAUUUGUAUUUGUUUACAAUUCAAUGCAGAUGGAUAUUGUAUAUGAUAACAUAUGGUUGAAUGAGGAGGUUGCAUCAUAAUCAAAUUUUGCUUGAAGUGAUGCCAAUGUACUAAAUGUAUAAGUAAUUUAUGUGAUUUAAUUUGAUUUUAUUUGAAUUUUGAUUUAAUGAAUGUGAAUUUCAAGU
This 2160-nucleotide long non-coding RNA is filed under the name Capsicum annuum. Its description in RNAcentral is "long non-coding RNA (CANN_LNC009032)". The record is from RNAcentral. Lineage: Eukaryota; Viridiplantae; Streptophyta; Magnoliopsida; Solanales; Solanaceae.